Molecule: transfer RNA, 78 nt
Filed under: Candidatus Latescibacteria bacterium 4484_107
Lineage: Bacteria; Pseudomonadati; Candidatus Latescibacterota
Also listed under: 2 other names
Description: tRNA-Thr
Rfam family: tRNA
About the family: Transfer RNA (tRNA) molecules are approximately 80 nucleotides in length. Their secondary structure includes four short double-helical elements and three loops (D, anti-codon, and T loops).
Source: RNAcentral
GCCGAUGUAGCUCAGUGGGCUUAGAGCGGUUCAUUUGUAAUGAACGGGUCGGGGGUUCGAGUCCCUCCAUCGGCUCCA